AUCUACCUUUGUGGACGCAGGAGAGCGGCGCCUCCUCACAAUGGCAGCUGGGUCGCAUCGCUGUGCCCCACAGAAACCAGGUGAUCUUCCGGGCAUCCGUCGGUCCUGCCACAACGCCAGCGUUUGUCGCGCUCGACGAUAUCGCAAUCGUGCACCACGAUCGGUGCGAGACCUUUCCGCAAGGCAGCGAGGCCUUUUCCGCAACGGAGCUGCUCACUUGCGAUUUCAAUGGCUGGAACUUCUGCAAAUGGUCGUUACUUGGCUCUUCGGCACCGAAGUGGAUGUUUGGGCUCAGCUGUUUGCCCAACCUUGGCCCUCUUUCAUAUCCUGC
Molecule: long non-coding RNA, 331 nt
Organism: Rhipicephalus sanguineus (brown dog tick)
Lineage: Eukaryota; Metazoa; Arthropoda; Arachnida; Ixodida; Ixodidae
Exons: 3
Source: RefSeq, a predicted model, not a curated record